Molecule: long non-coding RNA, 1355 nt
Filed under: Homo sapiens (human)
Lineage: Eukaryota; Metazoa; Chordata; Mammalia; Primates; Hominidae
Description: HSALNT0008305
Source: RNAcentral
CCGCUGGCCGCCGCCCCCUCCCCUCCACUCCACUCCACUCCCACCCAGCCUGCCUGGCCCACGUGCUCCCUGCGACCCAGCGAGGGCUGCGGGGGCGAAGCGAGGUGCAGACCACGCGAGGUAGAGAAACCCCUUUUUUUCUUUCGCGGUCGCCUGGGGACCGCGGUCUACUGCAAGGGAAGGGAAAAAUACAACUUGUUGAGCGCCUACUGUGCGCCAAGUUUGCGGCUAGGUGAUUUCAUUGUGUUUACAGCCGAGGAAUGGAGCGUGACCAUUCAUUCAUUGAUUCAUUCUGCAAAUGUUUAUUGAGUGCCUACUGUGUGCCAGAAACUAUUCUAGGCGCUUAGGAUCUAGCCGUGAACAACAGAUCGAAUCCUGCUCUCAAGAAAUUGCGUCCUAGCGGGAGGCUGGAACCCAAGACUGACUGACUCCAAAGUCUAGGCGCCUUAGGGAACAGGGAAGAAGGGGAUGUCCCUCACCUGUGUUCAGGACCUUCUUGGUAAAUGAUUCCAGGACUUCCAUGCGCAUUAUGCUGGUGCUGCACCUAUAACUCACCAAGUCCAAAUGGAGUCUGUCUUCCCCCACUCCACCCUCCCCUGCAUAUCCCAAUCCACAUUCUGUUAGAUCUGUGCCCACCUUACACACAGCCUUUAAUUUCCCACCCCAACUAGUGGGAUAAGUGCCCAUAAGACUCCAGUUUCUGUGCCAUUCCAUUUUCCGUGCAGCUGCCAGGAAUACUGAUAAAGUGAAAAUCAAUAUUUAUUAUUUCCCGGCCUCAGAUAUUGUCUUCCCUUCAGGAUAAAGUGAAAAAUCUUCAGCAGGGGCGCAGAGAUGCCUUCCGUACACCUUUGCAUUCUGCAGGCCCCCUCCUCUGCCUUCCUUCCACAGGCCACCUGCCUUCAGGAAAUCUGUUGCAGAGUUCCCAGCACCAAUACCCAGGACUCAGAGAAGGUGAGGGACACAAGUAGUGGGAUGGUGUGGAGAAGAACCCCCUCUCAGCUCUUUGAUUGGGGUUGGUGGAGGGCAGGGCCUGGCAUAGUUUCCUGACACCCAGCGCCUCUCCCCACUGCUUACUCCACGCACAAAAUUGGCCAGACAGCACACCCAGGCCACCAGCCCCAGGCCAGCAUUUGUUCCAUAGACUGAUCUCCCUCUAAAAUGUCUCAGUGUGGCCGGGCGCUGUGGCUCACACCCGUAAUCCCAGCACUUUGGGAGGCCAAGGCAGACGGAUCACUUGAGGCCAGGAGUAUGAGACCAGCCUGUCUAACAUGGUGAAACUCCGUCUCUACUAAAAAUAGAAUGAUUAGCCAGGUGUGGUGGUGCACGCCUGUAAUCCCAACUACUCCAGAGGCUGA